GGAUAUAGCCAAGUGGUAAGGCACCAGACUUUGACUCUGGCAUUCGUAGGUUCAAAUCCUGCUAUCCC
RNAcentral lists this transfer RNA (68 nucleotides) under human gut metagenome. It matches the Rfam family "tRNA". From Rfam's summary of the family: Transfer RNA (tRNA) molecules are approximately 80 nucleotides in length. Their secondary structure includes four short double-helical elements and three loops (D, anti-codon, and T loops). Further hydrogen bonds mediate the characteristic L-shaped molecular structure. tRNAs have two regions of fundamental functional importance: the anti-codon, which is responsible for specific mRNA codon recognition, and the 3' end, to which the tRNAs corresponding amino acid is attached (by aminoacyl-tRNA synthetases). tRNAs cope with the degeneracy of the genetic code in two manners: having more than one tRNA (with a specific anti-codon) for a particular amino acid; and 'wobble' base-pairing, i.e. permitting non-standard base-pairing at the 3rd anti-codon position. The record is from RNAcentral.